Long non-coding RNA from Oryzias melastigma (Indian medaka), 1622 nucleotides. RefSeq lists it as uncharacterized. The record is from RefSeq and is a predicted model, not a curated record. NCBI's taxonomy places the organism in Eukaryota, Metazoa, Chordata, Actinopteri, Beloniformes, Adrianichthyidae. The transcript has 6 exons.
ACUGAAAACAUCUUCCGAGCUGGGGGAUUCUAACAGAUGCCGAAUGGUUGUUUUGUUUCGCGCACAUCAGGUCUUUUCAGCUUGAAGGUGAUAUCAACUAGCAACCGUAUUAUGGCUCACUUGGAUAUUGCCGCUUACAGCUGUGAGUGGCAGAUGAGCGAAAUUAGAUCUCCAGCUGACACUGGCACAAGUAAAAGUGUUUUUCAUGCCUCAAAUUUUGUUGGUUUCGGUGCGGCUCGGAGGCAGGCUAGUUUGAAAACAAACGCUCAUGCCGAUACUUUAACCAAUUUCAUAGGGGUUACAUUGAGGUAGCCAGAAACAUAAUUCGCCAAGGAAGGAUGGCGCAAUCACACUAGGAAAUAAUAAAAAAAAGUCUUCUAAUUUUUUUCUCUUUUUUUGGCCUUCUGAUCAUAUAAAAGCAAGCUAAUAAAGUUUUAAGGCUACACUGGAGUUCCAGUGGAAGAUGAGCUUUUUCCAAAACAGUGAUGCAAGCCAAUCUUCUCUAUAAUCAUCUUUUUAAAUGUCAACAGAACUAAUGACAUAGUGAGCUUCAUUAACCUGCACUUGUCUUAAUUUUGUCAGAUAGUAUCAUAAAAUCCCAGCCUCACUUUUUUACCACAUGAUGGUGAAAUGACAAGUGGAAGAAGACAUGAGACCAUUCUUUAAAUUUUUUUUAGGUAUUUUACAUUAAGAAAAUUUCAAUUAAUAUAUAUUUUUUGACUUGAUAUGUUUUUUUAAAGCAUAAAUCUGAUUAAAAAAGACACAAACUUUUUUGAUUUGUAAUUAAAUAAAAAAUAGCAAGUGAAUGUGAGGGUUUGGGCCUUUUUGCUUGUUUAAUUAUGGAGCCGCAAGCGAUAAUUCCGAGCACCUUUGAACUACUCACAGACUGAUGAGCAGCAGGUGGGAACUGGAACGUGCAGGACACUGUGGGACCAGAAUAACAAAGAGGAACUGGGGUUGGUGCUUCAGUGGAUGGAGCGGGAGUUUCUUUAAUCUGCUCUUUGACCAGAGAAUCCAGUACACUGGGUCACUUGGUCGAUGGUGGCAGGAGGUCACGGCAGACCGUGGUGCCCACUGUCACCAGUCCGUGAUGGAAUACUCCCAGGAUUCACAGCUACACGGAGUGUUCCUGGAGGAAGGAGCACACUGAGAAAUGAGUCAAAAGCAAAGUAACAGCAUCAUUCAACGGAGGAGUCCACCAGUUCUCUGCAGUCUUCAGGCCACCACUGAUGCAGAUUCAUGAAGCCCGGUACCAAGUGACCCAUGGAUUGGUACCGGCAACCCGGGUUGGGGACCACUGCCAUAGCAGAUUAAAAAGCAAUUCCAGUUCACGAUUCUAUACAAAGCAAGAUUUUCACCGUACAAAAAGUGCAACCUUUUAUUUUUCUUACCAAUGUAUUUAAUUGAGUAUAUUGUUAACAUGCUUGAUCACAAGAGUUUUAAAUUUCUUUAUAAAAAAGCGUCAAACAUAAAAGUUGGCUAAAUUAUUGUGAUUUUUGUGAUUGAAUUAAUAUUAUCCAUGUAAGACACUGAGCAGCUUUCUGGGUUGACUUUGCUUUUGCGUCCUAGUGUAUCAUUCUGCACUCCACUUGUGGGUUUCCUAAAAAUAUAAACUCUGCUCA